RNAcentral lists this ribosomal RNA (497 nucleotides) under uncultured bacterium. RNAcentral's name for it is "partial 16S ribosomal RNA". It matches the Rfam family "Bacterial small subunit ribosomal RNA", at positions 28 to 507 of the family's 1533-position model. The record is from RNAcentral.
GAUGAACGCUGGCGGCGUGCCUAAUACAUGCAAGUCGAGCGAACAGACGAGGAGCUUGCUCCUCUGACGUUAGCGGCGGAAGGGUGAGUAACACGUGGAUAACCUACCUAUAAGACUGGGAUAACUUCGGGAAACCGGAGCUAAUACCGGAUAAUAUAUUGAACCGCAUGGUUCAAUAGUGAAAGACGGUUUUGCUGUCACUUAUAGAUGGAUCCGCGCCGCAUUAGCUAGUUGGUAAGGUAACGGCUUACCAAGGCAACGAUGCGUAGCCGACCUGAGAGGGUGAUCGGCCACACUGGAACUGAGACACGGUCCAGACUCCUACGGGAGGCAGCAGUAGGGAAUCUUCCGCAAAGGGCGAAAGCCUGACGGAGCAACGCCGCGUGAGUGAUGAAGGUCUUCGGAUCGUAAAACUCUGUUAUUAGGGAAGAACAAAUGUGUAAGUAACUAUGCACGUCUUGACGGUACCUAAUCAGAAAGCCACGGCUAACUACGUG